GACGAACGCUGGCGGCGUGCUUAACACAUGCAAGUCGAACGGAAAGGCCCUGCUUUUGUGGGGUGCUCGAGUGGCGAACGGGUGAGUAACACGUGAGUAACCUGCCCUUGACUUUGGGAUAACUUCAGGAAACUGGGGCUAAUACCGGAUAGGAGCUCCUGCUGCAUGGUGGGGGUUGGAAAGUUUCGGCGGGUGGGGAUGGACUCGCGGCUUAUCAGCUUGUUGGUGGGGUAGUGGCUUACCAAGGCUUUGACGGGUAGCCGGCCUGAGAGGGUGACCGGCCACAUUGGGACUGAGAUACGGCCCAGACUCGUACGGGAGGCAGCAGGGGGGAAUAUUGCACAAUGGGCGGAAGCCUGAUGCAGCAACGCCGCGUGCGGGAUGACGGCCUUCGGGUUGUAAACCGCUUUCGCCUGUGACGAAGCGUGAGUGACGGUAAUGGGUAAAGAAGCACCGGCUAACUACGUG
This 468-nucleotide ribosomal RNA is filed under the name uncultured bacterium. RNAcentral describes it as "partial 16S ribosomal RNA". It matches the Rfam family "Bacterial small subunit ribosomal RNA", at positions 28 to 507 of the family's 1533-position model. The record is from RNAcentral.